RNAcentral lists this unclassified non-coding RNA (1891 nucleotides) under Hevea brasiliensis (rubber tree). Lineage: Eukaryota; Viridiplantae; Streptophyta; Magnoliopsida; Malpighiales; Euphorbiaceae. The record is from RNAcentral.
AUUUUGUUCUUGUGAGAAUAAUAUGGUUGGGUGACAAUCACCUGGGCACCCGUGUGACAAUAUAGUGCCCUUUUUCUAGAUCAUAUACUGUUUUCAACUGUGGUUUUCGCCAUUGUAGUAGGAAAAAUACAGCAAGCAAAACUAUUAGAAGAAAAGCAAACAAUGAGAAGUAUGUCACUGACUCGUUUCCAACAAUUUGGUCAAGGUUAUCAAUUUCCAUGUCAAGGGGCUCCAGCAUGGAUUGCAGGAUAAAAGCUCCAAGACUCCAGUCAAGAUGAAAGCUUCCAGUAUAAUUUGCAAAACCAAUUCUUUUAUCAUUCAUUGGAAUUCCAAGGCUGUCAUGCAACAGUGCUACCAUGUAUGCAGAAGAAAAACAAUAUCUCAACAAAUCCAUAUCAUCAAUGCCAUGAUGUUGACUUCUCAGUUCAUCCCAAUCAUUUUCACAGUAAUGUUGCCCAACUGCCUCCAAUUCAAACAAAGUAGUCCUAGGAGCCAGGCCAAAGAACUCAGAAGUAUAGAACAAGGUUUCUUGAGAAACAUGCUUGCCUUGUAGCUCCGAGAACAAAGAUGGCACAAUUUUACAUGGCGAAUGUAAGCAUUUUGCUUGUCUACUCUUCAACAAUGCCAAAGCUUCAAGUCUGCAGGCAGUAAAGUUUCCAGCUGGAUGCGAUAAGAGAAGUUUGGCAUCACUUGCAUUGGAUGCCAGCUCAUAUCCUUUGGGAAUGCAAGGGUUGCCAAACGAUCCCUCCUUAUCAUUAGGCAGGGAGAUCAACUCUCUAGAAUGGUGUAGCUCAUGUAGAGACUCCCAUGCUGCAUCCUGGCCAAAUUUUGGAAAGCUUUGUGUCUGAAUAUUGUAAGCAACUCCAGCCCAUUUGAUCAUCCGUAGAGAUUUCCCUUUUGCUACUUCUCUUGAAGCAAAUGCAGCCUGCAAAGAAGUUCCACCAAGUUCAACUACCCCAGUGGUUUUCUGAGGAUCACUUCCCAGUGUUCCAAGAGCAUAGUUUACAGCAACCCAAGCAAAGACACCCUUUUCGCCAUCUUCAAUAAACCGUGCCCACUCUCCCUUAAACGUGAACCCAGACUCUCUCAAAACACGUCUACAAGACUCCAAUAUCAUCUCUCUCACCUUCAACUCCAACCCCUCGACUUCCUCACCACCGGCCAUUAACUGCACCUUAGUAUUCGCCCACUCUUUCUUGGGUACAAACCCCUUGGCAAACUCGACCAACCCAUCAACCAAACCACCUGCAUUAUCCGGGUUCUCUGAAAAUCCAGCCAAUCGAGACCGAACCUUCAUGGACCCAGCAAUCAGCGGCAUUUGACCAUUGGUAAAAGGCAUGCUUCCCUCCACCAAGAGCUCGUAGACGCGGACGCGAGACCCAGAAGGACCCGAAUCGAUAACAACAGAGAAGAAUUGGGAUUUGGGUUCGGCAAAUUUCGACGAAUGGUGGAUCUUCUGAGCGGUAGAAAAGAGGUAAAAGAGGAAAGCAACUGUGAGAAGGGAGAUGAAGAGGAUAAGAAACUUGUGGGUUUGUGAUUUGUUGUUGGGAUUUUGAGGAGGUUGGUAUGGAGAAGAGAAGGAGUCCAAGUGCAUGCGAGGAUGCAACUGUGUACGGUGAGGUGGGAAGUAGGCGGUAGAAGCUCUGGACUGAAGAGUUGAGAAAUCCAUGGAGUUUGGAUUUUGGACAUAGGGCAGAGAAAGAUUCGUCGGUUACUUACAUUUGGAUGAUCUGAGGUUAUUGUUUAUAGGUUCGUGUUAGAUCAAUCGAUGAUGAGUAUAAAAGAAAACAAAGGUUCAACUAAGAAUAUGAGCAUCUACCAGAUUCAAAAAAAAUUUUCCCAUCAGUUGAAGGAGCACAAGCACCUCUCCUUCUUUCUCCUCCUCCCCUAU